This 253-nucleotide ribosomal RNA is filed under the name uncultured bacterium. Its description in RNAcentral is "partial 16S ribosomal RNA". It matches the Rfam family "Bacterial small subunit ribosomal RNA", at positions 524 to 776 of the family's 1533-position model. The record is from RNAcentral.
UACAUGGGGUGCAAACGUUGCUCGGAAUUAUUGGGCGUAAAGCGCACGUAGGCGGUUCGUUAUGUUGGAUGUGAAAGCCCUAGGCUCAACUUAGGAAGUGCAUCCAAAACUGGCGAGCUAGAGUAUGGAAGAGGGUCGCGGAAUUCCCGGUGUAGAGGUGAAAUUCGUAGAUAUCGGGAGGAACACCGGUGGCGAAGGCGGCGACCUGGGCCAAUACUGACGCUGAGGUGCGAAAGCGUGGGGAGCAAACAGG